GUCCUCCGCCUCCCCGUCGUCAUCGUCCUCCUCCUCCUCUUCCUCGGAGCCUGCCGCCGCCGGAGGGGGCGGCGAGGGUGGCGGCGACUGGUCGCCUCCAGAUGGCAUGGCGCACCCUUGGGCGGCCAGUCCUCAGACUCGAAUCUCUUUAUUUCCAGUCCUCUUUGGUUUAUAAAUGAAUAUAGUGUACAUUUUCAUGCUUGAGGAGCCUGACAGCAAUGUGAACUGAGGAAAAGAAAUACUGGUGCAAAAACCCGUUUCAGGAAACUUGAGCAGGAUGCCGGCGGAGAGGAGGAUCUGGGGAAAGAUAACAGGACGCUCGGGGACAAUUCUUGGAUAUGCUUUCUCAGUGUUGAGAUAAGGUGAUCAAAGGCAAGAACAGAGGUCAAAUACAACUGCUUUAUAAGCAUUUCUAAGUUCAUAAGAAAUUCUAGUAGUUUCCUUAUAUUUAGGCUGGGGAUACUAAAUUUUAGAAAAAUGAUAUUGCUUAUUUUGGACACCAGCAACACAGUUUUACUAGAACAAAAAUUAGAUUUGUUUAGAGGUAAGAUUUGUUUACCAUUUUCAGUCAAGUUUAAUGUAAUUGAAAUAAAAUUUAUGGUAAUAAACCAUCAAA
Molecule: long non-coding RNA, 616 nt
Organism: Myotis myotis
Lineage: Eukaryota; Metazoa; Chordata; Mammalia; Chiroptera; Vespertilionidae
Exons: 2
Source: RefSeq, a predicted model, not a curated record